Molecule: ribosomal RNA, 253 nt
Filed under: uncultured bacterium
Lineage: Bacteria
Description: partial 16S ribosomal RNA
Rfam family: Bacterial small subunit ribosomal RNA
Source: RNAcentral
UACGUGGGGUGCAAGCGUUACUCGGAAUUACUGGGCGUAAAGCGUGCGUAGGCGGUCUGUCACGUCGGCUGUGAAAUCCCGAGGCUCAACCUCGGGUCUGCAGUCGAUACGGGCAAACUAGAGUAUUGCAGGGGAGACUGGAAUUCCUGGUGUAGCGGUGAAAUGCGCAGAUAUCAGGAGGAACACCGGUGGCGAAGGCGGGUCUCUGGGCAAUAACUGACGCUGAGGAGCGAAAGCGUGGGGAGCAAACGGG